GGAGUCGGCCGGACAGUCGCUGCGGCUUCGCAGCCGUGGAGGAAAGUCCGGGCUCCACAGGGCAAGGUGCCAGGUAACGCCUGGGGGGCGCGAGCCCACGGAAAGUGCCACAGAAAACACACCGCCUACGUGCGCCGGGCGACCGGCGCGCCGGUAAGGGUGAAAAGGUGCGGUAAGAGCGCACCGCGCCGACGGUAACGCCGGUGGCAGGGUAAACCCCACCUGGAGCAAGACCGAAUAGGGGAAGUCGCCGCCCUCGUGCGGCGAAGGCGUGGCCCACGCCCUUCCCGGGUAGGUCGCUCGAGGUGCGCGGCGACGCGCACCCCAGAUGAAUGACUGUCCUCGACAGAACCCGGCUUACAGGCCGGCUCCCUCC
This 376-nucleotide RNase P RNA is filed under the name Gammaproteobacteria bacterium. RNAcentral's name for it is "RNase P RNA component class A". It matches the Rfam family "Bacterial RNase P class A". Rfam says of the family: Ribonuclease P (RNase P) is a ubiquitous endoribonuclease, found in archaea, bacteria and eukarya as well as chloroplasts and mitochondria. Lineage: Bacteria; Pseudomonadati; Pseudomonadota; Gammaproteobacteria. The record is from RNAcentral.